UGGGGAAUCUUCCGCAAUGGGCGAAAGCCUGACGGAGCAACGCCGCGUGAAUGAAGAAGGCCUUCGGGUCGUAAAGUUCUGUCUUUGGAGACGAAUAUUCCUUAUGUAAAUAAUGUAGGGAACUGACGGUAUCCAAGGAGGAAGCUCCGGCUAACUACGUGCCAGCAGCCGCGGUAAUACGUAGGGAGCGAGCGUUGUCCGGAAUUACUGGGCGUAAAGGGCGCGUAGGCGGGUAUUUAAGUCAGAUGUGAAAACUCCGGGCUCAACCUGGAGACUGCAUUUGAAACUGAGUAUCUUGAGGGCAGGAGAGGAAAGUGGAAUUCCUAGUGUAGCGGUGAAAUGCGUAGAUAUUAGGAGGAACACCAGUGGCGAAGGCGACUUUCUGGACUGUACCUGACGCUGAUGCGCGAAAGCGUGGGGAGCGAACGGG
RNAcentral lists this ribosomal RNA (430 nucleotides) under uncultured prokaryote. RNAcentral describes it as "bacterial SSU rRNA". It matches the Rfam family "Bacterial small subunit ribosomal RNA", at positions 355 to 776 of the family's 1533-position model. The record is from RNAcentral. RNAcentral also lists the same sequence under 1 other name.